This 496-nucleotide ribosomal RNA is filed under the name uncultured bacterium. Its description in RNAcentral is "partial 16S ribosomal RNA". It matches the Rfam family "Bacterial small subunit ribosomal RNA", at positions 28 to 506 of the family's 1533-position model. The record is from RNAcentral.
GAUGAACGCUGGCGGCGUGCCUAAUACAUGCAAGUCGAGCGACCGGACGAUAAGCUUGCUUCUCUGAUGUUAGCGGCGGACGGGUGAGUAACACGUGGAUAACCUACCUAUAUGACUGGGAUAACUUCGUGAAACCGGAGCUAAUACCAGAUCAUAUGUUGAACCGCAUGGUGCAAAAGUGAAAGACGGUCUUGCUGUCACUUAUAGAUGGAUCCGCGCUGCAUUACGUAGUUGGUAAGGUAACGGCUUACCAAGGCAACGACGCAUAGCCGACCUGAGAGAGUGACAGGCCACACUGAACCUGAGCCACGGCCCAGCUCCCUACGGGGGGCAGCAGGAGGAAAACUGCAGCAAUGGGCGAAAGCCUGACGGAGCAACGCCGCGUGAGUGAUGAAGGUCUUCGGUUCGAAAAACUCUGUUAUUAGGGAAGAAAAUAUGUGUAAGUAACCGUGCAGAUCUGGACGGUACCUAAUCAGAAGGCCCCGGCUACCUCCGU